RNAcentral lists this ribosomal RNA (506 nucleotides) under uncultured bacterium. Its description in RNAcentral is "bacterial SSU rRNA". It matches the Rfam family "Bacterial small subunit ribosomal RNA", at positions 32 to 513 of the family's 1533-position model. The record is from RNAcentral.
AAUCAACGCUGGCGGCGUGCCUCAGACAUGCAAGUCGAACGCGAAAGUUCCCUUCGGGGAAUAAGUAGAGUGGCGCACGGGUGAGUAACACGUAGGUAAUCUACCUUCGGGUGGGGAAUAACCCAGGGAAACUUGGGCUAACACCGCAUGAUGCAGCGGCACCACAUGGUGACAGUUGUUAAAGCGGGGGAUUUUCGGACCUCGCGCCUGAAGAGGAGCCUGCGGCGGAUUAGCUAGNGGUGAGGUAACGGCUCACCAAGGUCACGAUCCGUAGCCGGCCUGAGAGGGCGGUCGGCCACACUGACACUGACAUACGGGUCAGACUCCUACGGGAGGCAGCAGUCGGGAAUUUUGGGCAAUGGGCGAAAGCCUGACCCAGCAACGCCGCGUGAAGGAUGAAAUCCCUCGGGAUGUAAAACUUCGCAAGAAUGGGAAGAAUUAGCGAGCGCGAAUACCGCUCGUGAUGACGGUACCAUUUGUAAGCUCCGGCUAACUCCGUGCCAGCA